RNAcentral lists this ribosomal RNA (497 nucleotides) under uncultured bacterium. RNAcentral's name for it is "partial 16S ribosomal RNA". It matches the Rfam family "Bacterial small subunit ribosomal RNA", at positions 28 to 507 of the family's 1533-position model. The record is from RNAcentral.
GAUGAACGCUGGCGGCGUGCCUAAUACAUGCAAGUCGAGCGAACGGACGAGAAGCUUGCUUCUCUGAUGUUAGCGGCGGACGGGUGAGUAACACGUGGAUAACCUACCUAUAAGACUGGGAUAACUUCGGGAAACCGGAGCUAAUACCGGAUAAUAUUUUGAACCGCAUGGUUCAAAAGUGAACGACGGUCUUGCUGUCACUUAUAGAUGGAUCCGCGCUGCAUUAGCUAGUUGGUAAGGUAACGGCUUACCAAGGCAACGAUGCAUAGCCGACCUGAGAGGGUGAUCGGCCACACUGGAACUGAGACACGGUCCAGACUCCUACGGGAGGCAGCAGUAGGGAAUCUUCCGCAAUGGGCGAAAGCCUGACGGGGCAACGCCGCGUGAGUGAUGAAGGUCUUCGGAUCGUAAAACUCUGUUAUUAGGGAAGAACAUAUGUGUAAGUAACUGUGCACAUCUUGACGGUACCUAAUCAGAAAGCCACGGCUAACUACGUG